This 497-nucleotide ribosomal RNA is filed under the name uncultured bacterium. RNAcentral's name for it is "partial 16S ribosomal RNA". It matches the Rfam family "Bacterial small subunit ribosomal RNA", at positions 28 to 507 of the family's 1533-position model. The record is from RNAcentral.
GAUGAACGCUGGCGGCGUGCCUAAUACAUGCAAGUCGAGCGAACGGACGAGAAGCUUGCUUCUCUGAUGUUACCGGCGGACGGGUGAGUAACACGUGGAUAACCUACCUAUAAGACUGGGAUAACUUCGGGAAACCUGAUCUAAUACCGGUUAAUAUUUUGAACCGCAUGGUUCAAAAGUGAAAGACGGUCUUGCUGUCACUUAUACGUGGAUCCGCGCUGCAUUAGCUAGUUGGUAAGGUAACGGCUUACCAAGGCAACGAUGCAUAGCCGACCUGAGAGGGUGAUCGGCCACACUGGAACUGAGACACGGUCCAGACUCCUACGGGAGGCAGCAGUAGGGAAUCUUCCGCAAUGGGCGAAAGCCUGACGGAGCAACGCCGCGUGAGUGAUGAAGGUCUUCGGAUCGUAAAACUCUGUUAUUAGGGAAGAACAUAUGUGUAAGUAACUGUGCACAUCUUGACGGUACCUAAUCAGAAAGCCACGGCUAACUACGUG